CGAGCUGCCGUCACCGUCCAUCUUUUUCCCCAUCCGCAAGCACAGAGUAGAGCAGAGCCACCUCGCGCUCGAUUCCGGGAGCCUUGCUGCAUCUUGAUCCAAUUCCUCGCGCCCACAGAUCCUCCACAACCCAAUACACACCCCACACCCCUCCUUUUUGCGGCUAAGCGCCGGCCAAGUCGAUCUCGUCGUUGUUUCCGUCCGUCGGCCGCCAUAGACACCCUCACGGUGAGCACCUUGUUUUUGUUCUUAUCCGUAUGAGAUGUUGGCCCAGAUAGCUUGUGUAGCGACUUCGGAAGCUAUAGUGCAAGCUUGUUGCCGUAGAGACCGGCCGGAGUGCCAUUGUCGUCAUCAUCCGCGUCGGCAAGUCAUGGCAGUGUCCACCGCCGUAGUCGCACGCCCUUCUCCUGUCCACCAGCUUCGUCAAGAACACCACCAGAGGAUGCGCAAGGACCUAGGUAACACAGCCGGUUAGCCCCCGGCACCGGAAACCUCGCCGCCGGCGAGCUAGCGCCGCUACCCGCCGGGGGUACCCGCGAUCAAGGCGGGCAACUGUGCCUUGACCCGGGGGCCCGCUUGUCAGUGGCCGUGGGUAGGUGGAGCGCGGGUGAGAAAAGAGAGUUCCGACGGGUUUUGGGGAAAAAUAGAUUUAGGUGUUUUAGAUAUUAGUUUUAAAUCCAGUUCUCAUAUUUAAUUCACCAAAAUUUGUAGAAUUGUCAAAAAUAGUGAAACAAAUUUUGUUAGGUUUGUUUCAUUUUCCUUUAUGCAUUAAAAUUCUUAAACCUUAGGAGAAGAUAUAAAAAAUUAGGUAUUUAUUUAGUACGUUUAUUUAAGGUAUUUAAAUAAAUACUUAACCUUUAUAAAAUGUAUAAAAUUUGUAAUAAUGUUUUAUUAUUCAAAAAUGCUUAUUAAUCCAUAGGAAUUAGGUUUUGAGAUUAGAAAUUAUUUAUAAUACUUUUCUAAAUAAAAGAAAAGGUUUAAUUUAGGUUAGUUAUGAAAAUUAAUUUGUGGGUUAAUCUUUUGGGUAGAUUAGUGUUGGCUUGCAACUUGUAUAGUCGUAUUCUAAUUGUGCCUUGCAUCAUAUCAUAGAACCUGAAGCUCCUGAAGUGGAUUUUGUGAAAUUAUCUGAAAGUUUAAGGAAGGUGUUGAAGUUGCUCCUUUUAUUAACACUUUUAUACCCCAGGCAAGCCCUGAAGCAUCUAUACCUAUCUAUUUUCAGAAAUUACUAUUCAUGUGUUCAAAUUAUUGGUUAUUUCCCUAUUUAUGCAUUAGGUCUAGAAGUGGAUUGAAACCUUACUUUCAUGCACAAUCCGACAAUCCGACCUUGUUUGUUAAGGACAUCUUUACCGCCUGUUCAAAAUAGCUUGCUCAAAAUAAUUAGUAAUUGUCCCAUUCUUAGCAAAGUGUAAUCAUGCUAUUCCAAUCUUUUUAGUACAUCUGGUGCUCAGCAACCUAAGGUAACAUUGUUCAUAUAUAUUUUAUCUGAGCACCCUAAGGUAACAGUGUUCAUAUAUGUUUUAUGUCAAGGAAAUGGCCUGUUUUGAAAAUAGUGGACGGAAGCUUGGAUGGAAUCAAGAAAGGAGACUUGAGCUCCGUAGUUCCGUCUACUCGGUUAAUGAAUUAAGGCCCGUUCGUUGUCUUAACCAGUGAUCAAGUGAUUUUACCUAGUUGCUUACUGUUUAUGGGACCAGUAAAGUCCGGUAGGUUAGUUGGCUCUCUGAUUGGAAAUAUUCUUACCUGUGCUUGAUGUGCUGGAGAAUGGCAGGGGCGUAGUCUGAAACUCACAUGGAGAUCAGGCCAGAUGUGGGGUCCCAUGUGGGGGUGGGUCCCUGGAUUCGGGUAAUUAUAAUUCCGAUCUUUGGGUACGGCUAAUUGAAAGGUCGUUAUGCGCAACUCGCGCAGUUGUGCAUGGCUGGUGAUUAGGUAUUUCCUGUAGGAUGUAAAUCGGUAUGGAUCGUUGCAAUUGUCGAUUAUGAGUGCACUUGAUCAUCACUUAAGCAUCGUAGAGUAAUCAAAUUGAAUAUAAUGUUUUCCUUGAAUUAUUAAUAUUGUAUGAUGUUUAGUUCCACUUGAUUGAUCAAAAUGUUUUAUUCACCUAACCAGGUAAGAACUAAUUAGUUUUAAAAUAAUAAAACUAACGUUCCACAAGUAGUAAGUUUUUCACAAAAAUGUUGAGUCAGCCAGUACACUAAAAAGGCUAUCAUGCUCGUAAGCAAAGUGGACACAUGAUAAACAAAUGGGUGCACUGCUGACAUACAGGUUUGAUUCAGGUCAAAGACAGUUUGCCAUUUCGUUCUGAAUGUGCACUCUUAGUUUAUGCAGAUCAUAUCUGGCAUCACUGACACUGGGAAUUGAAAAUCUAAUAUAGUUACACAUUUUAUCGAAUUAUUAGCAGAGAAGAUGCUAUGACUCAAAAGUCUUCAUCUAUUGGUUACCCAUUGGCGUAGCGUGGAAACAUAAUUGUUACUGAUGGGAACUAACUUCGCCUAUGGUGUGCCCCCCUUCUCCAUAAACUGCAUAGUAGUACGAUACUGUAAAGCUUAAUGAAACACAGGGUUGUCCUUAUUAGAAUAGGCUACAAAUUAACGGAGUAAUUGACAGACUAUUGCAAGUCACAUAUUGAUAGUUAUGCAUAUCUACAACUAUAGUUCAUAUCUUUGCAAGAAUCUAUAGUUCAUAUCUUUGCAAGAAUGCUAAGGACCAUAAAAGUUUAGUAUAGAACAGUUUCUUACAGUUACAGAUGCUAGAACAUUUUGUGUCAUCCAAAUUUGCAGUACCAGGAAGGGGGAAUCCAUGAGUAGCCUCCAGGGGCAGUAAAAUGUGACUGAAAGGAAUGUUGUACAUGCUGAUCUAGCAGCGGCACAAACGUCCCCAAAGCAAUCGCUUUUGUUUGUAGCCGCGGCACAGCUCAUCCCUGCAAUCUGUCCUCGCCUGGCACCUGGCACCGCUCCUUGGUGAGUCACAAAUCCAUGGCAACUUGUAAUAGCAAGAACAUGGAUUCAUGAAGAAUCUUUGCUGCAAACAGAAAAUGGACGGAACAGACUUGAUAUUAGAUGUCCUUGCGCAUCAGUUGCUACAUUCUAAAACUGAAAAAACUAACUAUUCAGUGACCAGCUUACGUUGGACGCAUUUCCUCGAGCACCUUCUGGGCGUCGUCCAUAUCGACAGCCACUCCAGCUGCUGGGGCACUGGCCGGCGAGCUCUGCACCAUGGGAGGUCGCACGGGUGUGCGAGGGAGAUGCCCACGCUUGCAUGUCCCAUG
Molecule: long non-coding RNA, 3262 nt
Filed under: Setaria italica (foxtail millet)
Lineage: Eukaryota; Viridiplantae; Streptophyta; Magnoliopsida; Poales; Poaceae
Description: long non-coding RNA (SITA_LNC007006)
Source: RNAcentral